Molecule: long non-coding RNA, 864 nt
Filed under: Brassica napus (rape)
Lineage: Eukaryota; Viridiplantae; Streptophyta; Magnoliopsida; Brassicales; Brassicaceae
Description: long non-coding RNA (BNAP_LNC001165)
Source: RNAcentral
ACGCGGCGAAGAAGCGGAGGGCAAGGGCAUGGGUGUGUGUGUGGUAGCAGAGAAAGGUCAGUUCUGAAACAGAGACGGUAAGCAGUUAUUUUAAGAGGGGUAGUUUUGUGGAUGCGAAGAAAUACGCUGUGAUGGGGGCACAUGUAGAAGAGCUGGGAACAUAAGUAACUAGGUUAACUGAUGAUUUGGUGGACAUAUUGAGGAAGCACUAUGCGAUUGAUAUCUACAAGAGUUUGGUUGUCCCUCUGUAUUUAUGUUGACGGUGGGUGUGGAGUAAAUUUUAGUAGGUUUUGAUAAGGCGUGUGGAUCUAUUUUGGUAUGGUAUUAUGUAUUUGUAUGUACGUUGGUAGUUUAUUAUGUAUUGAGGCAUGUGGACCUAUUUUGCAAUAUGUGUACACUGCAAAAUGUUUUUUGUAAGGCAUGUGGACCUUAUAUUUUACAAGAUUAUUUUCUUAUAAUGUACGAUUCUCUCAGACUUGGGAUGUACACUGAAUAUGUGUACAUUGUAGAUGAGUUCGAUAACGAAGGAGCAAAGUUAAUGGUAAUUUAGAUAAGGAAGCGAACAUGUACACGAGAAGUGUUGUGUACCUAUUAGCGCAGUACAUCUUGGUAUUGAUGAUGUUCAUACGAUAUAUGUACAUGUUAAUUUUGUGUACAUGUGUACAUGGUUGUGUACAUAGGCAUGUACAUUUAUUGUGAUGAUGUUCAUACGAUAUGUGUACAUGUUGAGUUUGUGUACAUGUGUACAUGGUUGUACGUAGGCGUGUACAUUUAUAAUGAUGAUGUUCAUACGAUAUGUGUACAUGUGUACAUGGUUGACAUGUCAUAGAAGAAUGUAGGGGGAUGCUCUCAUUAGGAGGGUAG